Molecule: ribosomal RNA, 427 nt
Filed under: uncultured prokaryote
Description: bacterial SSU rRNA
Rfam family: Bacterial small subunit ribosomal RNA
Source: RNAcentral
UGAGGAAUUUUGCGCAAUGGGAGCAAUCCUGACGCAGCAACGCCGCGUGGGUGAUGAAGGCCUUAGGGUCGUAAAGCCCUGUCAGGUGGGAAGAAUGUCCCGGGACUGAACAGGUUCCGGGAGUGACGGUACCACCAGAGGAAGCACCGGCUAACUCCGUGCCAGCAGCCGCGUUAAUACGGAGGGUGCAAGCGUUAUUCGGAAUUACUGGGCGUAAAGCGCGUGUAGGCGGUCCUGCAAGUCUGAUGUGAAAGCCCCGGGCUGAACCCGGGAAGUGCAUUGGAAACUGUGGGACUUGAGUACUGGAGAGGAUGGGGGAAUUCCCGGUGUAGAGGUGAAAUUCGUAGAGAUCGGGAGGAAUAUCAGUGGCGAAGGCGCCCAUCUGGACGGUAACUGACGCUGAGACGCGAAAGCGUGUGAGCAAACA